This 560-nucleotide ribosomal RNA is filed under the name uncultured bacterium. RNAcentral describes it as "bacterial SSU rRNA". It matches the Rfam family "Bacterial small subunit ribosomal RNA", at positions 24 to 559 of the family's 1533-position model. The record is from RNAcentral.
UCAGAACGAACGCUGGCGGCGUGCUUAACACAUGCAAGUCGAACGAGAAAGCGGACUUCGGUUCGUUAGUAAAGUGGCAGACGGGUGAGUAACACGUGGGCAAUCUGCCCGGAAGUGGGGAAUAACUCUUCGAAAGGGGAGCUAAUACCGCAUACUAUCACUAGGUCCUUGGACUCUGUGAUCAAAACAGGCCUCUGAUUCAAGCUUGUGCUUCCGGAGGAGCCCGCGCCCCAUUAGCUAGUUGGUGAGGUAACGGCUCACCAAGGCUCCGAUGGGUAGCCGGCCUGAGAGGGCGACCGGCCACACUGGGACUUAGACACGGUCCAGACUCCUACGGGAGGCAGCAGUGAGGAAUAUUGCGCAAUGGGCGAAAGCCUGACGCAGCGACGCCGCGUGGAGGAAGAAGGCCUUCGGGUUGUAAACUCCUGUCAGGAGGGACGAAUGUCUGAUGGGUUAAUACCCUGUCAGGUUGACGGUACCUCCAAAGGAAGCCCCGGCUAACUCCGUGCCAGCAGCCGCGGUAAUACGGAGGGGGCCAGCGUUGUUCGGAAUUAUUGGGC